UUGUUUUUUUUUCUAAAUCUGUCCUGAAUUGGUCAAUUGCCACCAGGUGAAUCUUGACUUUCUCUAAAGAAGGGAAAUGUGUGAAGUGUUAGAUCAACCAACGAUCAACCAGUACUGGAAUAGCUCAAAGGUGCAUCUCCUGAACCAUGAACUGGCAAGUAUAUAUAUCGCUGGAGCACAACACAAUGUUACAUUGUCUGAGAAUUUGUGGCCCAACAGACAGGAACGUCAGGAGUUGUAGGAUGACUGCACUGUAAUCCAUGGUGUUUUGCUAUUUGAACACAUUGUUUUGAGAAAUGCACUUACUGCUUUGCAAAUUUCAAUUCUGAUCUGAGAAAUGUACCAAAGCGACUGAGAAAAACUGUAAUACU
Gadus macrocephalus (Pacific cod) is the source of this 371-nucleotide long non-coding RNA. RefSeq lists it as uncharacterized. Lineage: Eukaryota; Metazoa; Chordata; Actinopteri; Gadiformes; Gadidae. The record is from RefSeq and is a predicted model, not a curated record. The transcript has 2 exons.